GGCGAGUUAGAGCAGAUGGUAGCUCGUAGGGCUCAUAACUCUAAGGUCGGCAGUUCGAGUCUGCCACUCGCUA
Molecule: transfer RNA, 73 nt
Filed under: Spirosoma arboris
Lineage: Bacteria; Pseudomonadati; Bacteroidota; Cytophagia; Cytophagales; Cytophagaceae
Description: tRNA-Met
Rfam family: tRNA
About the family: Transfer RNA (tRNA) molecules are approximately 80 nucleotides in length. Their secondary structure includes four short double-helical elements and three loops (D, anti-codon, and T loops).
Source: RNAcentral